Molecule: long non-coding RNA, 753 nt
Organism: Nomia melanderi (Alkali bee)
Lineage: Eukaryota; Metazoa; Arthropoda; Insecta; Hymenoptera; Halictidae
Source: RefSeq, a predicted model, not a curated record
AGAGGACAGCCAAAUGUGGAGCACUGCGAUGCUCGCGAGGCAUCCGCCUCUUUAUGGGGCUGCGGCAAAGAAGGGCCGACGAGAGUAAGAAUUCUAUACCUUGAAGCGCUAUUUUCAAAGCGGUUUAUAAAGUCGUGCAAACAUGAUCGAGGAAGAGAGGCGAUUUAACUUCUCAGAGCAAUGUAUCCUGUGUAUCCUGGAAACGCGCAGCGAUAGGACGUUUUGGCACGGCCGAAGAGCAGAAACGGCGGAACGUUAAUCUACGUACGUACGCGUCUCGUCUCGAUUCGCCCUGAUGCCGACCACCUGUCCCACGCGACAAUUCGAGGGUACGACAUCAGCUCGCUGGAUGGAUCGUUAUAGGAACCUGGCAAACGGGGCUAAUUACCAAUCUGAUCGGCCAAGAUCGGACACGGGACAACCAAGACACAAUGACAAGGAAUUUCUCGUUAUGUCUAGAAGCGAUACUACACUGUUUGGCACUAAUCUAAGGCAAUCAUCAACGAUUUCUACUAAUUUCUCCGGUUCUAAAUCUCUUGGAAGCUUACUUUGUGAAGAAUAGCAAGUAGAAUUUAGGCAGAACAAUUAAAAAAGAAAAUACCGUAUACUUGCGUGCAAAGCGAGUUCCCACAGCACGAAUUGCUACAACGCGUCGAAGAUCUCGUGACUGUUUUCAUAUAAUACGAUUCCUUGGGCACCAAUAAAAUACAAUUUCCAGCAUUUAAAAAUAAAGUAAAGUUUAACUGAACAUUA